This 526-nucleotide long non-coding RNA is filed under the name Pogona vitticeps (central bearded dragon). RNAcentral's name for it is "lncRNA (ENSPVIG00000007606.1)". Lineage: Eukaryota; Metazoa; Chordata; Lepidosauria; Squamata; Agamidae. The record is from RNAcentral.
AUGAGCAUGGCUGAACUGGACCAACCUGUUUCUCCAACAGCUUAUGAAGAAAGCAAACUGGCUUCUUAUCCUGGCAACACAACUCUGAAAAAGCACCAAGAGACACUGCAGGCAGGACCAGUGAAAUCCAGAGUCAUCUGCGUGAAGCCGAAAUCUGAAGUUGCAGAACAGCAAGGGGGAGAAGCCAAGCCCCAUUUACGCUCCCUUCCCGCGCCUGUCAAGGUACCAUCUGCUGAUAUAGACGACGAGAUUCAGAGCUUCAGUUCUUUCCAUGGGAGUUCGGGCUCAUCUGGAGCAGAUACGCUGUGAGUCCUGCCUCCACGUCCCAGCCCACAAAACCGUAGGCGGCAAGAGAAAGAGUGGGAACAGCUGGAAAUAAUGUAGCUAUCGGCAACAUUUGGACAUCAAAUCCUCGUCCUAAAGUUUUUAAUAUACCACUGUGUGUUUGUGUGUGUGUGACUUGCAUGUGAAUAUGUACGUUUAUUUUUAAAAUAAAAUAUUUCCAUUUUGAAAAUGUGUUUAAUCU